RNAcentral lists this transfer RNA (73 nucleotides) under Danio rerio (zebrafish). It matches the Rfam family "tRNA". Rfam says of the family: Transfer RNA (tRNA) molecules are approximately 80 nucleotides in length. Their secondary structure includes four short double-helical elements and three loops (D, anti-codon, and T loops). Further hydrogen bonds mediate the characteristic L-shaped molecular structure. tRNAs have two regions of fundamental functional importance: the anti-codon, which is responsible for specific mRNA codon recognition, and the 3' end, to which the tRNAs corresponding amino acid is attached (by aminoacyl-tRNA synthetases). tRNAs cope with the degeneracy of the genetic code in two manners: having more than one tRNA (with a specific anti-codon) for a particular amino acid; and 'wobble' base-pairing, i.e. permitting non-standard base-pairing at the 3rd anti-codon position. Lineage: Eukaryota; Metazoa; Chordata; Actinopteri; Cypriniformes; Danionidae. The record is from Rfam by way of RNAcentral.
GCUCGUCUAGUUGAGUCAGUAGAGCAUGAGACCCUUAAUCUCAGGGUCGAGGGUUCGAGCCCCACGUUGGGCG